Small nuclear RNA from Ornithorhynchus anatinus (platypus), 107 nucleotides. The record is from RefSeq and is a predicted model, not a curated record. Lineage: Eukaryota; Metazoa; Chordata; Mammalia; Monotremata; Ornithorhynchidae.
GAAUUUGUUAUAGCAAUACACGUGCUAAAAUUGGAAUGAUACAGAAAAGAUUAGAAUGGCCCCAGAGUAAGGAUGACACACAAAUGUGGGAAGCGUACUCUCUCUAG